UUCGCAAUGCCCGAAAGGGUGACGAAGCGACGCCGCGUGGGUGAGGAAGGCCCUCGGGUUGUAAAGCCCUGUCAGGAGUUAAGAAAUGUAGGUACGCUAAUAUCGUAUCUAUUUGACAAAGGCUCCAAAGGAAGCCACGGCUAACUCUGUGCCAGCAGCCGCGGCAAUACAGAGGUGGCAAGCGUUGCUCGGAAUUAUUGGGCGUAAAGAGCACGUAGGUGGAUUUGUAAGUCAGAUGUGAAAGCCUUCUGUUCAACGGGAGAAUUGCGUCUGAAACUACAAACCUUGAGUAUAGGAGGGGAGAAUGGAACUUCUGGUGGAGCGGUGAAAUGCGUAGAUAUCAGAAGGAACGCCGGCGGCGAAAGCGAUUCUCUGGCCUAUUACUGACACUCAGUGUGCGAAAGCUAGGGGAGCAAACGGGAUUAGAUACCCCGGUAGUCCUAGCCGUAAACGAUGGGCACUAAGUAGAGGGGUUUU
RNAcentral lists this ribosomal RNA (477 nucleotides) under Candidatus Scalindua brodae. RNAcentral describes it as "bacterial SSU rRNA". It matches the Rfam family "Bacterial small subunit ribosomal RNA", at positions 365 to 832 of the family's 1533-position model. The record is from RNAcentral. Lineage: Bacteria; Pseudomonadati; Planctomycetota; Candidatus Brocadiia; Candidatus Brocadiales; Candidatus Scalinduaceae.